Molecule: transfer RNA, 72 nt
Filed under: Actinomycetota bacterium
Lineage: Bacteria; Bacillati; Actinomycetota
Description: tRNA-Ala
Rfam family: tRNA
About the family: Transfer RNA (tRNA) molecules are approximately 80 nucleotides in length. Their secondary structure includes four short double-helical elements and three loops (D, anti-codon, and T loops).
Source: RNAcentral
GGGCCGUAGCUCAGUUGGAAGAGCGCCGCCUUUGCACGGCGGAGGUCAGGGGUUCGAAUCCCCUCGGCUCCA